This 213-nucleotide long non-coding RNA is filed under the name Homo sapiens (human). RNAcentral's name for it is "HSALNT0157453". The record is from RNAcentral. Lineage: Eukaryota; Metazoa; Chordata; Mammalia; Primates; Hominidae.
CAAACCCAGGCAGCCUGGGGCUGUACUGAAUACUGCAGGCAAUUUGCAACACAAUGGUAACACGAAAUACAGGCAGCUCUCCUUCUGAGUGCUUGUUAAGAUGGGAUUUGUCUGCUCUGUUAGAGACAUGUGCAGUCAUAUGACUUUUCUCAUCUGGGAAAAUAUGGAAGAGUUGGAAAAUUGAGGAGCAGUGUACAGUUGGGUGUCUAGUAG